CCAUGGAGUGCCUAGGUUAGGGUCAGGAAGAGAGAGAAAACAUAUAUACAGAUGGUGUUAGCAGGUGUUUGUGUAUCUCCAUGGUUUUAGCCAUCCUUGGUAAUUGAUGCUAGGAGAGGAUGCAUCCUCCAUGGAUAUAGGGACGAUACUGCUGUCUAGGAUGUCUGACUAUGGAUGAUCAGACCAAUGUGAGCUCGGAAGGCUUUACCACAAAUAAUUUGUAUAAACUUUUGGAGGUGAGAUCUCUCUAAAUUUGCACAUCUUGCUUUUCUUCCAAGCUAAUAUAAUUCUACUUUGCUCAUAGAAAACAGAAUCAUGAGAGGCAAUUUGUCAUAAUGGUUGUCAUUGGUCUCCAUCAGGAAACCAUGGGUUCAUAACCCAUCUCCCACACAUACUCACUUCAUGACCCUGGGCAAGUAGUCACUCUCAGUGUCUCCAGGUAACUCUCUAGACUCAGCUGUAGAUCAGGUGUUAAUAGAGGAAAGCUUCCCUGUGAGAGCCUGCACCUGAGCUAUCCUAUUUAGUCUACUCCAUCCUCCUCCAUUCAUUUGCAUUUGCAUGUAUUAUAAUACAAAGUGUAAAGUCAUAUUUUGUUAAAAUAAAAAAUUUAAAAGUGACUGAGUGGCUCUCACUUCAUCAUAAACUUUGACUUGUAAGACUGAUUCAGUUUUCUCUGGUCCCUAUUUGACAAAAACUGAGUUCAUUGAUAAAGCACCUGUCUGAAAAGUCUUCCUCAUAAUGUGGAGCCAAUGGGAUGAUAAUAUCUUUUCACAGAUAUGGGCAUAAGAUCUGCUAUAAAAUUAAAUUUUAAAGUUUGACAUCUAGUCUGAGCUUUAUAUUUCAUAGAACUUGGAAACUGGAAUUGGGGAAGUAGUGGGAGUGCUAGGGAGAGAAAUGAUAGGAUGCUCAUGUUCUGAGAGAGGAAAUGCAACUGAUUUCUUUAUAUAAGCCCCACCUUUGGGCUGUGGAGAACUCAUAGGAUCUGUGUUCCAGCUGUUAGUGCUUAUACCAGUGAGAUCAACUUCAGGCCUGAAGCCAGAGGACCCCACCCAGCCCCCAGGCCUGGAGGGAACGCUCCCUAAUUGGAGCAUUCAAAGGCUAAAGUCUUCUGAAGUUCUGAGUCCAUUCUCCUCGGACCAAAGACAAUUCCUCCAAAAAAAAAAAUCCAAGAAUUUGGCUUUAGAUUUAGUACAUCUUACAAGACUGUUCCUUCGUUGAUCCUAGACAGGAAGUUCUCUCCCAAUACAACCAAAGACCAUGUUAUCCUUUUAUGACAACCACAUCGUAUUCUUGGGCAUGCACAUAUCUGGCAUUAAGUAAUUCAUAGGGAUCUGUUUCACUUGCAACCAAUCUAGCAAGUCAAUUAAAAUGAGUUAGAAAAGAAACUCAUCAAAAAUUCUUUAAGAUUUA
RNAcentral lists this long non-coding RNA (1410 nucleotides) under Monodelphis domestica (gray short-tailed opossum). RNAcentral's name for it is "lncRNA (ENSMODG00000037927.1)". Lineage: Eukaryota; Metazoa; Chordata; Mammalia; Didelphimorphia; Didelphidae. The record is from RNAcentral.